Molecule: ribosomal RNA, 305 nt
Filed under: uncultured bacterium
Lineage: Bacteria
Description: partial 16S ribosomal RNA
Rfam family: Bacterial small subunit ribosomal RNA
Source: RNAcentral
ACAGCAGUAGCCACGGGAAUACGAAGGGUGCAAGCGUUAAUCGGAAUUACUGGGCGUAAAGCGUGCGUAGGCGGUGAGUUAAGUCUGCUGUGAAAUCCCCGGGCUCAACCUGGGAAUGGCAGUGGAUACUGGCUCGCUAGAGUGUGUCAGAGGAUGGUGGAAUUCCCGGUGUAGCGGUGAAAUGCGUAGAGAUCGGGAGGAACAUCAGUGGCGAAGGCGGCCAUCUGGGACAACACUGACGCUGAGGCACGAAAGCGUGGGGAGCAAACAGGAUUAGAUACCCCCGUAGUCCCUGUCUCUUAUAC